AUGUGUCUGAGUGAUGGCUCCUGUUCAAUGAAAAAUCCAAGGGCUCCUUUGCAAAAGAGAACAUACGAAUGGCAGUUGAGACGGGUGGUGAGAAGUGAAGAGAGAAGCUUGAGCUCAAAGGAGUGGAGGCAGGACCUGGGAGCAUGGCUGCGGGGACCCUCCAGCAGGAGUGAGGAGUGGCAGACAAAGCUGAAGAUACUGGGCAUCAGAUUGGAUGGGAAGUCCCUGAACACUCAACCAGACAACCUGGAUUUCGUUCUCUGGGUGAUGAAAUGCACUGGUUAUUAUGUGAAGACUUUCCUUCUUUUGGAAAAAGAAGAAUGGUUACAAACAUUGCUGAACUUGGGAAAGGUAUAGACAUGCUUAUUUGUUGUAAAGAAAAAAAAGAAAACCCAACCUGUUUUAGUAUUUAUGGUGGAAUCAGCUGCUUUUGUUUGCCUGUCAUCCUUGUAUUUUUUACUAGUAAAAUAGCCCAUAUUUUGUGAGGGGGGAAUCACCCCUUUUCCAUUCUUAUCCAAGUGAAAGUAAUAGCUCCAGGGCUGGGCCAAUGAUCUAGAGAAUCAAAUUCCUGUAGCCCCUCUGAUUGCUUCGGGAAGGGCACAUGCUCCAAACUGGUCCAAUGAAAUAAAUCUGGGGACUCUUUUUUUCUUCUUCUUCUUUUUUUAAUGGCUGCACCCAUGGCUUAUGGAGGUUCCUGGACCAGGGAUUGAAUCUGAGCUGCAGCUGCAAUCUACGUUACGCUGCAGCUGUGGCAACACUGGAUCUUUUAACCCACUGUACCAGGCCCUAGGACUGAACCUGCACCUCUGUAGCAAUCUGAGCUACUGCAGUCAGAUUCUUAACACACUGCACCAGAGCAGGAACUCCUGGUAUAUUUUGAAUGGAAACUCUCUGAUCUAGAAUUCUGUAUUACCAUAAUAUUGCUAUGAAGUAAGCGAUCACAAAACCUCAGUGAUGUGAAUAAUAGACUUAUUUUUUUACUUACAUAUGUGUGAAUAGUGCCAAAUCUUAGGACUUUUCUAGAACUGUUGGGAAAAGGAAAAACUUACCUUUAUCAGGAAUUUCUGGAAUUACUGUAUGGCGGUAACAUCCAAAAGGAAAACGGAGUUGAGACAAGGCAGAGGGAAAGGGGGAGAGGAACGGCAGAGGGAAGGGUAAAGGGGAGGGGCUGGUUCGGGGUAUUUUUAACCACAUGGACCCCAAAUUCAUUCCUUGCUUAAGUCAGUAUGAGUUGGAUUUUUCUGUCACUUACAUCUAAGUUCUAACACAAAAUCUAUCCAGCUAUGAUCAUGUUCAAAAUGGGGCAGUUCAUCAGAUGUGAGGAGAUUCUAUGUCCUCAGAGGUACUCUGAUGGUCCCCAGGGAAAUGCAGGGUCAAUAAGAUAAGGCUCCUCUGUACAAGGAUGCUGUUCUAAACACUUGAACUUUUUCCAACUCUCAGGGACAUAAUGUCUUUUUUCUAAGCAAGAUGUUCUUCUACAAAGAUUUUUGCAAGUAAGGGGAAAAGGCUGGGGGGGGGGGAGGGAAGAGUCCUGAUUGUGUAUUGUUACUGUACAGUAAACAUAUUUCUUAACUCCCAGAGAAAUAGCUAGCACUCAGAAAAUGGGUUUUGGGGACAUGAAGAAGAAGGGCCAUUAUUAUCUAAUGAGGGCCUUAGGCAGAAUCCUUGAAGAGGGCCAAAGACUGUUACCAGAAUGACUUGGCUGAAAUUAUACUUAUGUAUUCAUUCUGAUGGAAUAUCAGGUGUGCAGUAAAAUAUUAGAUUACAUUACUAGACACUCUACUAAACAUAGAUUUUAUAUGUAUAAUUUUUUAUGGAGGGAUAAAUAUUUUAGAUUGGUACUGGCUUACACAUGAAGGCGUUUAUCUGCUUAAGAUUUCUCUUUACUAUUUCCAUAUAAUCCUUGUGUCUACCAUGCAUUCAUGCACCUGUAUCAGAGGAAAAGAACAAUGAUCCUUAUACUCUACUUCAUACAAAUUUUACAUUUUAAAGCUCCUGGAAAAUACUGUUGACUCACCAAACAUUUUAUUUUUAUUUAAAAAAUUUUUUGGCCACUCUCUGAGCAUGCAGAAAUUCCCAAGCUAAGGACUGAACCCACAUCGCAGCAGUGACCUGAGCCGCAUCAGUGAAAAUGCCAGAUUCUUAGCCGGCUGAACCACCAGGGAACUCCGUGACUCAAAAAUGUUAAAAGAACAGAUUAUCUGUUCCUUUUUUUUUUCUUUUGAAGAAAGGAAACAGUAGAGAUAGCCAGUAAUGAAUUGUCCUCAACAAGCCCAGUGAAUGCAUGUGUAUAGAAAUAUUUGCAGUACAGUGGGGUGAGAGAAUAGUAUCAUUUAGAGAAUAACAGUGUGUGGAGCAAUGAGAAGUCACUGCUCCAAGCCAGAGGGUGUCAAGAUCAGUGUCCAUCUGUAAGAGAGGCUCUUGUGAUCACCAUCAGUCACCCCAACACUGGACAGCCCCACCCCCUCACUCCAUGGUGGAAAGUCAGAUGCACAGGGCAGCCCACUGAAUUUACCGUCACUGUCUCUGUUCUAUGCAGAGUUCCUUGGGAAUGCAGUGAUAAAUGCUCCAGCUUCCACAGACCCAGCCACAGGUUUCCCAUGACAGAUAUGGCCCGGACCCCAAGGCCUUCAGGAGUCAGUGCUGUCUGAACAUACCCUCUGCCAUUUUGACCCAGGAUGCACCCACAGUGCUGGGAUUACCUGUCCAAAGAGGUUCCAGUGUUAGUGUUCUGCUCAGCUGAUCAAAGCCUUGGCACUGAACCAGGGACACCACUGCAAAUCCUCCUGGUUUAUAGCAAACUGAGUCUGAGGACUUAAUUACCCCUGCUGGCCAUCUGGGGCUUUUGAGGGCCAGCAGGCCACUUUGAUGGCACUGAUCCUGACUGUGGAGGAGUCUGCAUUAGAUGCUGAUGGAGUGUGAAAUCUCAUCUAUCCAGAGAGCUAGAGCUUGAGGCUCCACCCCUCAAACACACAGUUCUCUCCUCUCUUGGCACCUGGGUGGCUAUUUCCUUUACAUUUAUAUCACACACGGAUUAUUUGUGAAUCCCACCCCCCACCCCCGCCCCCCAAAAAGGGAAGCCAAUUCUAAAGGUAAGCUGACAUUUUCAUAAUUUAGAGAGAGAGAACUGCCAAUGAUUUUUAACCAGUUUUCAAGGUUAAAAGAAAACAGUACACUGUAUCUAUUGUAUGGUUUAAAAAGAAUCAGGCAGGAGUUCCCGCUGUGGUGCAGUGGGUUAACAAUCCAACUGCAGUGGCUUAGGUCACUGCAAGUACAGGUUUGAUCCAUGGCCCAGCACAGUGGGUUAAAGGAUCCAGUCUUGCUGCAGCUGAGGCAUAGGUCAUAGCUGCGGCUCAGAUUCAGUCCCUGAUCUGGGAACUUCCAUAUGCCAUGACUGCGGCCAUUAAAUAAACAAAUAAAUAAACAAAUAAAUAAAAUCAGGCAGUGUCAAUACCUUUAGUAUUGAAACAGUUAUGAACUAGGUUUUGAAUAAUUAAGAAGCACCUGAGGUCAUCAUUAUAGAUGCAGAGGAAUAAUUAACAGAACAUCACAAUUAAUAGAAGCCUGACUACAAGAUCAUUUGCCUAUUUAUGAUGUAAUCACAGGCAUGCUGCCAGAGCUUAAGAAGUUUGUAAAGUCAUCAUAACCUUUGCCACCUGGGAACUUUCAUAAUAUUAAGUGAAAACAUUGUCAGAACCACUGCAGUGUAACUCUGUCACUCCAUCAGUGUUUUCCCAGGUAUUGUCCGAACUCCUUGACUCCUUCAUUGUGGGUUUUGGGAGGGUAUUAAAAUAGAAAAGAACAACUUGGGGAAGGCACAAGUGUGGAAUCGGGGUUAAUGAGCCAAGUUCAGGAAAAGUGAUUUUGGGCUGGAGCAGUGGUGUCCAUGGCACUUUGUUCAGGUGUCUCAGACUCUCUGAACUGCGUAUGGGUACAAGGGGAGUAGAGAUUGUGUGGAUGAGCUGUAGACACCACUGUUGCUAUGAGCUAGGUUUGUAGCUGACCAUCUUCAUGACUUGACACUUCUUGUUUAGCUAUAGAUACGUAUAUUAGCAUUCCCUGCCAGGGAGUAGUUUUGGUUUUUU
Molecule: long non-coding RNA, 4085 nt
Filed under: Sus scrofa (pig)
Lineage: Eukaryota; Metazoa; Chordata; Mammalia; Artiodactyla; Suidae
Description: lncRNA (ENSSSCG00005031199.1)
Source: RNAcentral